AGAGUUUGAUCCUGGCUCAGAACGAACGCUGGCGGCGUGGAUAAGACAUGCAAGUCGAGCGCUGAUUAUAGGGUAGCACUAUCCUGUAGUCGGAGCGGCGCAAGGGUGCGUAACACGUGGGUAAUCUGCCAUGAAGUUUGGGAUAACUUGCUGAAAGGCGAGCUAAUACCGGAUGUGACCGUUGGGAGGCAUCUCCUGAUGGUUAAAGUUGGGGACCGUAAGGCCUGACGCUUCAUGAUGAGCCCGCGGCCUAUCAGCUAGUUGGUGAGGUAACGGCUCACCAAGGCUAAGACGGGUAGCUGGUCUGAGAGGACGACCAGCCACACUGGAACUGAGACACGGUCCAGACACCUACGGGUGGCAGCAGUCGAGAAUUUUUCACAAUGGGCGCAAGCCUGAUGGAGCGACGCCGCGUGGGGGAUGAAUGGCUUCGGCCCGUAAACCCCUGUCAUUCGCGAUCAAACCUCGCUAUUUAAAAGAUGGCGAGCUGAUAGUAGCGGAAGAGGAAGGGACGGCUAACUCUGUGCCAGCAGCCGCGGUAAUACAGAGGUCCCAAGCGUUGUUCGGAUUCACUGGGCGUAAAGGGUGCGUAGGUGGUGAGGUAAGUCGGAUGUGAAAGCUCGGAGCUCAACUCCGAAAUGGCAUUGGAAACUACCUUGCUCGAGGGUUGGAGGGGGGACUGGAAUUCUCGGUGUAGCAGUGAAAUGCGUAGAUAUCGAGAGGAACACCAGUGGCGAAGGCGAGUCCCUGGACAACUCCUGACACUGAGGCACGAAAGCUAGGGGAGCAAACAGGAUUAGAUACCCUAGUAGUCC
RNAcentral lists this ribosomal RNA (815 nucleotides) under uncultured bacterium. Its description in RNAcentral is "bacterial SSU rRNA". It matches the Rfam family "Bacterial small subunit ribosomal RNA", at positions 8 to 796 of the family's 1533-position model. The record is from RNAcentral.